RNAcentral lists this ribosomal RNA (462 nucleotides) under uncultured bacterium. Its description in RNAcentral is "partial 16S ribosomal RNA". It matches the Rfam family "Bacterial small subunit ribosomal RNA", at positions 29 to 523 of the family's 1533-position model. The record is from RNAcentral.
AAUGAACGUUGGCGGCAUGGAUUAGGCAUGCAAGUCGGGGGAAUCCCAGCAAUGGGGGAACCGGCGUAAGGGGCAGUAAGGCAUGGGUACCUACCUUGGGGUUCGGGAUAGCCAUCAGAGAUGGUGGGUAAUACCGGAUGACGUCGUGAGACCAAAGAGUUAUCGCCCUUAGAGGGGCCCAGAAGAUAGUAGCUAGUUGGUGGGGUAACGGCCCACCAAGGCGAAGAUGUCUAGCGGGUGUGAGAGCACGACCCGCGCCACACGCACUGAGACACUGGCGAGACACCUACGGGUGGCUGCAGUCGAGGAUCUUCGGCAAUGAGCGCAAGCUUGACCGAGCGAUGCCGCGUGAGCGAUGAAGGCCUUCGGGUUGUAAAGCUCUUUAGUGGGGGAGAAAAGCCGCAAGGUGUGAUCUAUCCCAAAAAUAAGCACGGGCUAAGUUCGUGCCAGCCGCCGCGGUAA